UGUGGAUGCGGUGUGACGCC
This 20-nucleotide unclassified non-coding RNA is filed under the name Chlamydomonas reinhardtii. Its description in RNAcentral is "small RNA Cre_3606". Lineage: Eukaryota; Viridiplantae; Chlorophyta; Chlorophyceae; Chlamydomonadales; Chlamydomonadaceae. The record is from RNAcentral.